Long non-coding RNA from Vicia villosa (hairy vetch), 1254 nucleotides. RefSeq lists it as uncharacterized. NCBI's taxonomy places the organism in Eukaryota, Viridiplantae, Streptophyta, Magnoliopsida, Fabales, Fabaceae. The record is from RefSeq and is a predicted model, not a curated record. The transcript has 5 exons.
AAUGCUUUUCAGCAACAUUUGAAGUCUAUGGAUUCGGUUGAAGAAGUAACUGAGCUUCAGAGCUAUUUAAAAGAAAAAUGCAUAAGGUUUAAUGAAAAGGAUAAAGAUAAGUUUGACAUUCUAAGUUGGUGGAAACAUAAUGUUAGAGAAUACCCAGUUCUGUCCCAAAUUGUUAGAGAUAUAAUGGCUACACCAGUUUCAACUGUGGCUUCUGAGAGUGCUUUUAGCACCGGUGGGAGGGUUUUAGAGGUAUAUAGAAGCUCUCUCAAACCUGAAAUGGCCGAGGCUCUUAUUUGUGCACAAAACUGGUUGAGGCCUUCAUUAGAUCAGUUCAAAGACUUGGAAUUUACUGAAGAUUAUGAGAUUUCUGAAGAUGCUUUAAAAGGAUUUGCUGAACUUUCACUCGGAAGUGGAGCAUCGUCUUCAUCUCAGACUCAGUCACAGCCUUCUGGCUGUGCCUAAACACUUUUUGAGCUACUUUUUUUGGAGUCAUGGAUGACUCGUUUUUUUGAAGCCGACAUUAACACAACCAACACUUUUUGGAAGAAUGUCAAAAACAGUCCUGCACAACCAACACUUUUUGAAAGAAUAUCAAAAACAUCCCUACACAACCAACACACCUUCGUGUGAUUGAUGUUAUUGUUGUUGAGGAAGUUAAAAAGAAAGAGACAAGUCCUAAUGCUGCUGCUGGGAAUGAGAAGAAUUGUUGUUGCUGUUGUAGUUUAAAGAUGCAAGGUGUGGUUAACUUUUCUGGCCGAAUAUCAAUACUCAUAUACCAGAACACGCAGGCUUUCCAUUUGUUCAUGAUUGCAAUGCUCCAGGUUUGGUGUUUAUCAUUCUCUUGUGAUUUAUUUAUUUGCUAAUUGUGUAUCCACCUCCUAUGGUUUAAAGAUUGAAAUUAAAGUCAAAAAAUGAAGUCGUAUAUAUUCUAUUUGUGUGUUGUGAAUUGUGCAUUUGUGUUGGUUGUGUGAACCUGUCUCAAUUUAAUAUAAUGGUUGCUUACUAAUUCACUACUAUCAUUUGAUUUAUGAUUUACUUGGUUUUAAAUAUUUACUAUGCACAUGAUAAAUUGUGUUAUAUACUUUGACAGAUGUUUUAUCCAUUGUUUUUGUGUUAAGUAAACUCUUGCAAGUCUCCAUGUGGAGUCUAAGACGAUUUUAUGAGGUUAUGUAGGCCCCUGAGCUUGAUUUUUAGUUUAUUAAACAAAUCAAUUUCUCAUAUUGGAAAGUUGGUGAAAAUGUUAUCCUUUGGAUA